ACGUACACUCCUACGGGAGGCAGCAGUGGGGAAUUUUGGACAAUGGGCGAAAGCCUGAUCCAGCCAUGCCGCGUGCAGGAUGAAGGCCUUCGGGUUGUAAACUGCUUUUGUACGGAACGAAACGGCCUUUUCUAAUAAAGAGGGCUAAUGACGGUACCGUAAGAAUAAGCACCGGCUAACUACGUGCCAGCAGCCGCGGUAAUACGUAGGGUGCAAGCGUUAAUCGGAAUUACUGGGCGUAAAGCGUGCGCAGGCGGUUAUGUAAGACAGUUGUGAAAUCCCCGGGCUCAACCUGGGAACUGCAUCUGUGACUGCAUAGCUAGAGUACGGUAGAGGGGGAUGGAAUUCCGCGUGUAGUAGUGAAAUGCGUAGAUAUGCGGAGGAACACCGAUGGCGAAGGCAAUCCCCUGGACCUGUACUGACGCUCAUGCACGAAAGCGUGGGGAGCAAACAGGAUUAGAUACCCGUGUAGUCCCCAU
RNAcentral lists this ribosomal RNA (479 nucleotides) under uncultured organism. RNAcentral's name for it is "partial 16S ribosomal RNA". It matches the Rfam family "Bacterial small subunit ribosomal RNA", at positions 329 to 800 of the family's 1533-position model. The record is from RNAcentral.